RNAcentral lists this ribosomal RNA (467 nucleotides) under uncultured bacterium. RNAcentral describes it as "partial 16S ribosomal RNA". It matches the Rfam family "Bacterial small subunit ribosomal RNA", at positions 28 to 507 of the family's 1533-position model. The record is from RNAcentral.
GACGAACGCUGGCGGCGUGCUUAACACAUGCAAGUCGAACGAUGAAGCCCAGCUUGCUGGGUGGAAGAGUGGCGAACGGGUGAGUAACACGUGAGUAACCUGCCCUGAACUCUGGGAUAAGCACUGGAAACGGUGUCUAAUACUGGAUACGACCUAUCACCGCAUGGUGUGUGGGUGGAAAGAUUUAUCGGUUCUGGAUGGACUCGCGGCCUAUCAGCUAGAUGGUGAGGUAAUGGCUCACCAUGGCGACGACGGGUAGCCGGCCUGAGAGGGUGACCGGCCACACUGGGACUGAGACACGGGCCAGACUCCUACGGGAGGGAGCAGGGGGGGAUAUUGCACCAUGGGCGGAAGCCUGAAGCAGGCACGCCGCGUGGGGGAUGACGGCCUUCGGGUUUUAAACCUCUUUUUGUAGGGAAGGAGCGAAAGUUGCGGUACCUGCAGAAAAAGCCCCGGCUAACUACGUG